This 208-nucleotide unclassified non-coding RNA is filed under the name Hevea brasiliensis (rubber tree). Lineage: Eukaryota; Viridiplantae; Streptophyta; Magnoliopsida; Malpighiales; Euphorbiaceae. The record is from RNAcentral.
GUGCCCAAUACAAAGUUAAAAGAUGGUGAUGUGGUUGAGAUCAGAAUGUAGAUAUGUUCCUCUAUGUCCAAUCGUGCACGGUCUGUACAGCAUGUAUAGUCAUUGCAAUUCUGGGAAGACGCUCCCAACAGAAUGAAGUUGUAUGUCCUGGGUCAAGAGUAAUUCAGUUACUUGCUGCUGAGCAAAGUCCAUUUGUUGUUAAUAGUUA